UAUAACGGCAAUGGCGCCCACCUGAGAGGUGCCGGAACUGAUUUGGCUGAAAAAAAGCCCUGGGUGUUACCCCUCAUCAGAGUGAUGCCAGCUGAUUGGCAGGUGGGUGUGGUUUUUUAAAAGUAGUCUCACAGACCAAAGUUUAACUCCUGGAGGUCCAAUACAGUGGUACCUCAGGUUACAUACGCUUCAGGUUACAGACUCCACUAACCCAGAAAUAGUGCUUCAGGUUAAGAACUUUGCUUCAGGAUGAGAACAGAAAUCGGGCUCCGGCUGCGCGGCAGCAACAGGAGGCCCCAUUAGCUAAAGUGGUGCUUCAGGUUAAGAACAGUUUCAGGUUAAGUACGGACCUCUGGAACGAAUUAAGUUCUUAACCUGAGGUACCACUGUACUGCCCCGCAAAUUGGAGAUUCCUCACCACAGACUAGACCUUAUUGUGCCUAUGUGGAUUGAGAACAUACCCUAUAUCCACCCCCGAUGUGCAGGACAGGGAAAGAUCAGAAGGGGUGAACUAAUGACAUUGCUUUUCUGCUGCAGCUGCUUCUGAGAUUCUUUAAGAUGACAGUGCCAAAGAUUGAAGUUGAAACCUCUCUGUUUGAUGGCAUAGCAUGGGCCCAAGCUACUCGGCUAUGACCAAAGGUGCCAUCCCUCUUUCCAGGAAGUUAUGUUCAUCACAGCAUAUUUUUUUGUCAAAGUAUCAUGGGGUUCCUUGGAAGAGUUGUAAAGACACUGCUGUAGAAGGUAGAUAAUAAGCGAGUGCCAUCCCUUUGAAUUCAAGAACUGGAAUUAUAGUUCAGGGAAAAUAUUAGCUGUUUUGCGAAUUCUGUGGAGUUGUCUCCUUGUAAGAAUAGUUCCAACUGCCAAAAAAAGAGUCCUCAAUCAGGAUCCUUGACUGGAAUAAACGGACCAAUGGAUAUUAACUGAGGUCAUCUCAUUUACACCUGCUUAGGGAUUAGUCCCUUUACUUCAUAUGCGAAAAUAAACACCCUGCCAGCAGACCUCGGGUGUCAAAGUAUUCUAACGUUUGCCAGACACGACUGUGUUAUGCUAUGUAAUUUAUUGUAAUGAUGGGUCAAAUCAUCCCCCCCUAAAUUAUUGUGUAAAUCAUAUUGAUUAUGUGUAAUUGCAAAAUUGAAUGUGAAUAGUGUAAAUUACAGGAUUGUUUUUCCAGCUGCAACAACAUUUCCUAUACGUAGGGAUAGCUGGAAGAAGGUAUUUGGGGUGUAGAUUUACUACAUGCCAGAAAUCUUUUAGUAUGGUACAUUAAUGUUUGUUGACUACUGCCUUCCAAUGGAAAAGAGAGAGCUGUAUUUCUUUUAUUAGUGUUUUAAAGAAAAAUAAAUACAAAAUGUUUUCUAACCUUUCA
Molecule: long non-coding RNA, 1366 nt
Organism: Podarcis raffonei (Aeolian wall lizard)
Lineage: Eukaryota; Metazoa; Chordata; Lepidosauria; Squamata; Lacertidae
Exons: 2
Source: RefSeq, a predicted model, not a curated record